RNAcentral lists this ribosomal RNA (402 nucleotides) under uncultured bacterium. Its description in RNAcentral is "bacterial SSU rRNA". It matches the Rfam family "Bacterial small subunit ribosomal RNA", at positions 355 to 774 of the family's 1533-position model. The record is from RNAcentral.
UGGGGAAUAUUGGACAAUGGGCGAAAGCCUGAUCCAGCAAUGCCGCGUGAGUGAUGAAGGCCUUAGGGUUGUAAAGCUCUUUUACCAGGGAUGAUAAUGACAGUACCUGGAGAAUAAGCUCCGGCUAACUCCGUGCCAGCAGCCGCGGUAAUACGGAGGGAGCUAGCGUUGUUCGGAAUUACUGGGCGUAAAGCGCGCGUAGGCGGUUUUUUAAGUCAGAGGUGAAAGCCUGGUGCUCAACACCAGAACUGCCUUUGAAACUGGAAAACUUGAAUCUUGGAGAGGUCAGUGGAAUUCCGAGUGUAGAGGUGAAAUUCGUAGAUAUUCGGAAGAACACCAGUGGCGAAGGCGACUGACUGGACAAGUAUUGACGCUGAGGUGCGAAAGCGUGGGGAGCAAACA